AGAGCGAACGCUGGCGGCAGGCCUAACACAUGCAAGUCGAGCGGCCGUAGCAAUACGGCAGCGGCAGACGGGAGAGUAACACGUGGGAACGCGCCCUUCGGUUCGGAAUAACUCAGGGAAACUUGGGCUAAUACCGGAUACGCCCUUACGGGGAAAGAUUUAUUGCCGAAGGAACGGCCCGCGUCCGAUUAGCUUGUUGGUGAGGUAACGGCUCACCAAGGCGACGAUCGGUAGCUGGUCUGAGAGGAUGACCAGCCUCACUGGGACUGAGACACGGCCCAGACUCCUACGGGAGGCAGCAGUGGGGAAUAUUGGACAAUGGGCGCAAGCCUGAUCCAGCCAUGCCGCGUGGGUGAUGAAGGCCCUAGGGUUGUAAAGGCCCUUUCGGGCGGGAAGAUAAUGACGGUACCGCAGAAGAAGCCCCGGCUAACUUCGUGCCAGCAGCCGC
Molecule: ribosomal RNA, 448 nt
Filed under: uncultured bacterium
Lineage: Bacteria
Description: SSU rRNA
Rfam family: Bacterial small subunit ribosomal RNA
Source: RNAcentral